GAUGAACGCUGGCGGCGUGCCUAAUACAUGCAAGUCGAGCGAACGGACGAGAAGCUUGCUUCUCUGAUGUUAGCGGCGGACGGGUGAGUAACACGUGGAUAACCUACCUAUAAGACUGGGAUAACUUCGGGAAACCGGAGCUAAUACCGGAUGAUAUUUUGAACCGCAUGGUUCAAAAGUGAAAGACGGUCUUGCUGUCACUUAUAGAUGGAUCCGCGCUGCAUUAGCUAGUUGGUAAGGUAACGGCUUACCAAGGCAACGAUGCAUAGCCGACCUGAGAGGGUGAUCGGCCACACUGGAACUGAGACACGGUCUAGACUCCUACGGGAGACAGCAGUAGGGAAUCUUCCGCAAUGGGCGAAAGCCUGACGGAGCAACGCCGCGUGAGUGAUGAAGGUCUUCGGAUCGUAAAACUCUGUUAUUAGGGAAGAACAUAUGUGUAAGUAACUGUGCACAUCUUGACGGUACCUAAUCAGAAAGCCACGGCUAACUACGUG
This 497-nucleotide ribosomal RNA is filed under the name uncultured bacterium. Its description in RNAcentral is "partial 16S ribosomal RNA". It matches the Rfam family "Bacterial small subunit ribosomal RNA", at positions 28 to 507 of the family's 1533-position model. The record is from RNAcentral.